AACGAACGCUGGCGGCGCGCUUAACACAUGCAAGUCGAACGAGAAGGCGUAGCAAUACGCUUGUAAAGUGGCGAACGGGUGAGGAAUACAUGGGUAACCUACCCUCGAGUGGGGGAUAACCGCCGAAGGCGGGCUAAUACCGCGUACGCUUCCGAUCUUGCGGGAUCGGAAGGAAAGCUGUCCCUUGGGGAUGGCGCUCAAGGAUGGGCUCAUGUCCUAUCAGCUUGUUGGUAGGGAACGGCCUACCAAGGCAUCGACGGGUAGCUGGUCUGAGAGGACGAUCAGCCACACUGGCACUGCGACACGGGCCAGACUCCUACGGGAGGCAGCAGUGAGGAAUAUUGCGCAAUGGGCGAAAGCCUGACGCAGCGACGCCGCGUGGGGGAGUGAAGGUCUUCGGA
This 401-nucleotide ribosomal RNA is filed under the name uncultured bacterium. RNAcentral describes it as "bacterial SSU rRNA". It matches the Rfam family "Bacterial small subunit ribosomal RNA", at positions 29 to 422 of the family's 1533-position model. The record is from RNAcentral.